RNAcentral lists this signal recognition particle RNA (93 nucleotides) under human gut metagenome. RNAcentral describes it as "Bacterial small signal recognition particle RNA". It matches the Rfam family "Bacterial small signal recognition particle RNA". From Rfam's summary of the family: The signal recognition particle (SRP) is a universally conserved ribonucleoprotein involved in the co-translational targeting of proteins to membranes. The record is from RNAcentral.
CGGGUCCCCUCGCAUGCGGGUGCCACGAAUCUGGUCAGGUCGGGAACGAAGCAGCCAUAGUGGAUUUCCAGCAGUGCCGAGGACAAGGCUCGC